Molecule: long non-coding RNA, 4382 nt
Filed under: Theobroma cacao (cacao)
Lineage: Eukaryota; Viridiplantae; Streptophyta; Magnoliopsida; Malvales; Malvaceae
Description: long non-coding RNA (TCAC_LNC001967)
Source: RNAcentral
AAGGGAAGAAAAGAAGAACAAAAACCUAGCUAAGAGAUUCAAGAGAAAUUCACAAAAUUUCAAAGAAUCAAGUGACAAAAGGUAAGAUUUCUUAAUUCUAGCUUGUGAUCUACCUUUCCUAUGCAUUAUUUUGCAUUUUCCAUGCUUGAGAAUCAAGUUUACAUGAGGAUACCCUUGUUGGCCGAACACUUAGAGGGAGGUUUUGGUGCUUGAUUAGGUUAGAUUUCAAUGUAUUUUAGUGUUUUUAGUUAGUUAGUGAUGUGUAGCAUGAAAAUCAAGCAAGAAAAAUUCAUGUUCUUCCAUUACCCAUCAUUGGCCAAAUUCUCCAUGUGGAAUAUUGAUGAUGAUUUUGAUUUUAUUUCAAGUGAAUUGGUUAUGAAAUGAUGAAUUACGAUGAGAAAAUCAAGUAGGAAAAAUCAUAGUAUUGAUGCACCCACCAUGGCCGAAUUUUCCAAGAGAAAAUGUGAGGAUGAUUUUUCCAUAUUUCAAGUUAUUUAACUUGUGUUUGAUUGUUUGGAGAAUUAGAAGAAAAAUGGAAUUAUUUGGAGUUAAAUUGGACAUAUUGGCCAAUUAAUCGAGUAAUAGAUAGAAUUAGGCCAAUGCCAUUUUAUUUAGGUACAUAAUUGAAUUUAUAUUGAACACCGUAUUUAGAUAGUUACCCGAGUAUUUCACAUCCCAUUUCAUGCAUUAGUAUAAAGCCUGAAUUGGUUUUAUAACAAUUUAGCACAAAUGUAGUAAAUGGCUUAUUGUGCAUUAUGUCUAGGUAGUGAGCAUUCUGGCAAAAGUAAAGAGAUAGUACCCGAGGAUCAAGAAUCGGAGUACUCGAAAUUCGACUCUUGAAAUAGUGAGUAACCUUACUAUCAUUUUAAUUAUCUAAAGUGGUUUUUAUCCGAUUUUGUUAUUUUAUGGAAAAUGAGUUAAAUGGUAAAUCUUUGUGUUUGUAAUUAAAAUGUGAUUUAAUGAAAUGAUUUAUAACAUUGUCUUGAAAUUGAAUGAUGGUUUGAAAAUAGAGUAAUUGCAGACUGUUUUCAUGUGUUGUAAAUUCAUGGUUUGAAUCGAAUGGCUUAUGACAAUAAUUGCAUGAAUGAUUGAAUUGGUAUUUGUGUUGAAAUAUAUGAACUGUGUAUUUAGCCUUGAGAGGCUGGAUUGUGAUAUAAUUGCCAUGUCAUGCUAUCGCAAAUUUUAUUGUAUGGUGGGUUUAGCUUGCUGCAGUGGGUGGGUUUUGUGGACUAGCCUUUUUGAGGGGCACAAAAUCCUGUUAUAUUCUUACCUCGAUUGGGGAGGCGUGUAGGGUAACUCCCGAGGUACAACUUUAGAGUUCACUUCGUGUCAAACCACCACAUGAGGGUGAACUCAGCCAAUGCUAAGGAACGACUAUGUUUUCAAAAUAAAAACAUGAUUUAUGCGUACAUGACUUUUUAACAGCCUUGGCGAACUUGGUUGGGACAGCCCCAGGCCAAGGUAUCCCUAACAAUCGAGUAUGAGAAUGAUUUUGGCACGAGCCAAAGUUUUAAGAAAUUCAUAAGCCAUGUUGAUUACUGGAUUUAUAUGAAUUGAUUUUAUUUGGCUGAAAUGAGUUGAAAGGUGAUGAAUUACAGUAUGAUGAUCUAUUUUAAUCUGUCUCCAUUUACUCAACUUUAGAUAUUUUAUGUCACGACCCAACUUCCGGGCCAUGACCGGCAAGUCAUAUUUCAUAACUUGGAAUUCAAAAUAAUACUACACAUUGCCAUCUCAUACUGGCAUACCAAACAAGUGUAUAUACAUUGUCUAUAACAUGUAUCUUAACAAUUUACAUUAGGUUCAUUUAUACACAACAAAAUAAUACUCGACUUCCAACGGAGGGACUCGGACGAAUGUACAGCUACUGAAUGCUAAGACACCUAUUAAAAGAUGAAUACAAGUCUACAAGGACACCUCAUCCUAGUUACCGGCUACCUCGUGAUUUGAAAAAAUGAAGUUGAAAACAGUAAGUAUAAACCCAGUGAAUGAAUAAGGAAGGGAAGAAGCAACAACAAGGGGAAAUUUAGAAUCAUGAUGCACUUGUUUUAAAACAAUGCAAUUUAAUUUCAUUCAUAUUAAAAACCCCUCAUUUCAACCCUUAUAUGAUUAAUCAAUUGGUAAUGAGGAACCCAAACAUAACAAAUAAUUUGAAAAAAAUGAAGGCUCUAGUGAUACACCAACAAGACAAAUGCGACGACGAAUCUUCGCUGCAGCGUAUGAAUUUUCGCUGCAGCGACGUUGGAAUUAAGUUAUUAGCCAAACGUGGGUUUCUCAACUGGCCAAGGGUUUCUCACUAAACCUCCUCAUUUUAAGCUUAACUCAUUUAGUCCUUAAUGUUGGAGUUCAUGCUCAUAUAUGGUAGCAAAGAAGUUAAAAAUAGAGUAACAAUUGGACAAGAUAGGACACAGAAACAGAAGGUUUUUCGCUGCAGCGAGAAUGAAUCUCGCUGCAGCGAAAUUGUAACCCAGAAACAGAAAGUUUCUUGCUGCAGCGAGGAUGAAUUUCGCUGUAGCGAGUUUUUGGCCAAUCUACCCCUCCAAACCCGAGAGUUUCUUGUUGUAGCGAGAUUCAUUUUUCCUGCAGCUAGAAGUUACAGUGACUAUCUCGCUAUAGCGUGACUCAUUUUCACUGCAGCGAGAACCAAUUCUGGUGAAAGGUCCUCAAACCAUAGAGUUUCUCGCUGCAGCGAGAACAGAGCAACAAGAGAAAAGUUUCCCUCCACUCAACAAAAAGGCCAUCCUGCUAAAUGCACAAAAUCCACAUACAGCACAUGAAAAUUCCCAAAGUGUAAUGUAUCAAAUUUCUCAUAUAUGUCAAUCAUAUAUCACAUUCAUAAGUUUUCAUUUCAUAAGUCUAGAUAUGCAUAAUUACAUAGAUAAACAUCAACAUCAUCAUAAUCACACCCGACUCUUGUACAUCCCCCCACAUCGUGCACAAGGGCACUAUCAUCAUCCAUCUCUCACACCACCAUCAUCACUGGCAUGGGCAUUCCCCCACAUCGUGCACACACAUGGUUACAAUCAUUAUACACAAUAUCAUUCAUCACGCACAACACACACACACACAUAUAUAUAUAUCAUAAUCCAAUAGUACAUGAAUCCAUAGCAAUUAUAUAUCACAACAUAAAACUAUUUGACAAAAGCUUGUUCCCAAGGCAUUUGCUUUUAUAAAAACUUGAUAAUUCAUUUAAAUGGGUGGCAAAUACAUUAUAUCUCCCAAACAAGCUUUGAAAACAGUCCACUCACCGAUUUAUUGUUGAGCCUUUAGUUGACUCUAAUUCCCCUAAUGAUCCAAUUGGAAGGAUGGGACUUCAUUAGAACCUAGGAUCACAUUAGCAUAAGCAAUAGGUCAAUUCACACACUAUGAACCCUAAAAGCUAUCUCUUAGCUAGCUUUCAAUUGCCACAUUAAAUGGCUAUCUAUGCUCACUAUCUCAAUCACAAAAAGUAAUGAACAUAUUCAAUAAUAAAACAGCUCAUAAAUCCCAAUUACUAGCCAUUUUCUGCAGCUAAAAAUCGAGCUUAGUUCAUCAUUUACCUUAGGGCUCCUUUGUAGUCAAAUUCUCUUCCAAUAGCUUCCAAAUAAAUGGUGUAAUUUUCUUUUUCUCUCUCUAAAAUGUCCAGCUAGUGAGAGAAAGUACAGAAAUGAGAUUUAUCAAGGGUUUUGAAGUGAGAGAGUGAAAGAAUACUAGGGUUCUAGUCAAAAGGGCUCAAAAGUAUGAAAACUAGAGCUAAAGAGAGAAAAUCAUGCAAGCUCCAUAUCAAGCUUCCAUGGAGGUUUUGAAGAAACGUGAGAGAGAAGAAGAAGAAGAAGACAAGCUGCUGGAAAAUGGGAGAAGAAGCUGCUGGAAGAAAGUAUUUAUAGGCCAAGCUUAUCCAUUCCCUUAAAAUUACCAAAUUGCCCCUCCACCAAUUAACUUACUCUCCACCAAACUUUUAUGAAAUCUUUUUGUUCUUUUGACACUGGGAUAAGGUCCAUAAUGGUCUAAACAUACUCAGGUUCAUGAAAACAUAAAAUUUUAACCCGAGGUGAAAAAUGACCAUUUUGCCCCUAUCGUGAAAAUUACUGUCAUUUCUAGUUUUCUUCGUGUUUUCAUCAUUACACAUCAUUUAUGUAGUCUUAUGCCUAUUUGGACCUUAAAAAAUCAUAAAACUUUAUUUUGGGAGCUUAUUAGAGAAAAUGACGAAACUACCCUUGGCUCGUAUUAUUACAUCUAUUCUUAGUUACAAGCCUAUAGAGGUUGGGGUCUCACAUUUUAGAUGGUAUUUGCUUACCCACUGGGAUUAUAUAAUCUCACCACCCUCCUUUCCACCCAUUUUAGGCUCAAGAUAGUCGGUAGAUAGCUCAUUUCGUUAAGGGCUACAGUUGGACUUGCAUCCUCAA